Molecule: transfer RNA, 77 nt
Filed under: Amycolatopsis sp. NBRC 101858
Lineage: Bacteria; Bacillati; Actinomycetota; Actinomycetes; Pseudonocardiales; Pseudonocardiaceae
Description: tRNA-Glu
Source: RNAcentral
GCCGCGACCUGGUCGACGCCGACGACCCGGCGCUCUCGGCGGCGGCGAGCGCGGUGUUCGACACCUUCGCCGUGCUG